RNAcentral lists this ribosomal RNA (393 nucleotides) under uncultured bacterium. RNAcentral describes it as "partial 16S ribosomal RNA". It matches the Rfam family "Bacterial small subunit ribosomal RNA", at positions 523 to 918 of the family's 1533-position model. The record is from RNAcentral.
ACACGUAGGGGGCGAGCGUUGUUCGGAAUUACUGGGCGUAACGGGCAUGUAGGCGGUCUUGUAAGCUUGGCGUGAAAGACCACGGCUCAACCGCGGGAUUGCGUUGAGAACUGCGAGGCUUGAGUGACGGAGAGGGAGCUAGAAUUCCUGGUGUAGGGGUGGAAUCUGUAGAGAUCAGGAAGAAUACCAAUGGCGAAGGCAAGCUCCUGGCCGAUGACUGACGCUGAGGUGCGAAAGUGUGGGGAUCAAACAGGAUUAGAUACCCUGGUAGUCCACACUGUAAACGAUGUGCACUAGGUGCUGGUACGGAUGUAUCAGUGCCGUAGCUAACGUGAUAAGUGCACCGCCUGGGGAGUAUGCUCGCAAGGGUGAAACUCAAAUGAAUUGGCGGGG